This 748-nucleotide ribosomal RNA is filed under the name Streptomyces yunnanensis. RNAcentral describes it as "bacterial SSU rRNA". It matches the Rfam family "Bacterial small subunit ribosomal RNA", at positions 61 to 822 of the family's 1533-position model. Lineage: Bacteria; Bacillati; Actinomycetota; Actinomycetes; Kitasatosporales; Streptomycetaceae. The record is from RNAcentral.
GUCGAACGAUGAACCUCCUUCGGGAGGGGAUUAGUGGCGAACGGGUGAGUAACACGUGGGCAAUCUGCCCUUCACUCUGGGACAAGCCCUGGAAACGGGGUCUAAUACCGGAUAUGACACGGGGUCGCAUGAUCUCCGUGUGGAAAGCUCCGGCGGUGAAGGAUGAGCCCGCGGCCUAUCAGCUUGUUGGUGAGGUAGUGGCUCACCAAGGCGACGACGGGUAGCCGGCCUGAGAGGGCGACCGGCCACACUGGGACUGAGACACGGCCCAGACUCCUACGGGAGGCAGCAGUGGGGAAUAUUGCACAAUGGGCGAAAGCCUGAUGCAGCGACGCCGCGUGAGGGAUGACGGCCUUCGGGUUGUAAACCUCUUUCAGCAGGGAAGAAGCGAGAGUGACGGUACCUGCAGAAGAAGCGCCGGCUAACUACGUGCCAGCAGCCGCGGUAAUACGUAGGGCGCGAGCGUUGUCCGGAAUUAUUGGGCGUAAAGAGCUCGUAGGCGGCUUGUCACGUCGGAUGUGAAAGCCCGGGGCUUAACCCCGGGUCUGCAUUCGAUACGGGCAGGCUAGAGUUCGGUAGGGGAGAUCGGAAUUCCUGGUGUAGCGGUGAAAUGCGCAGAUAUCAGGAGGAACACCGGUGGCGAAGGCGGAUCUCUGGGCCGAUACUGACGCUGAGGAGCGAAAGCGUGGGGGAGCGAACAGGAUUAGAUACCCUGGUAGUCCACGCCGUAAACGUUGGGAACUAGGUG